AACGAACGCUGGCGGCGUGCCUAACACAUGCAAGUCGAACGCGAAAAGCAGUAAUGCUGAGUAGAGUGGCGCACGGGUGAGUAACACGUAAAUGACAUGUCCUUGAGACGAGGAUAACCAGCCGAAAGGCUGGCUAAUACUCGGUAAGCCCACGUCUUUGGAGAUGAGGGAAAAGGGUCGGGAACCUUAGGGUCCGAUCGCUUGAGGAGUGGUUUGUGGCCCAUCAGGUAGUUGGCGAGGUAACGGCUCACCAAGCCUAAGACGGGUAACGGGUCUGAGAGGAUGAUCCGUCACACUGGAACUGAGACACGGUCCAGACUCCUACGGGUGGCAG
RNAcentral lists this ribosomal RNA (334 nucleotides) under uncultured Pseudomonadota bacterium. Its description in RNAcentral is "bacterial SSU rRNA". It matches the Rfam family "Bacterial small subunit ribosomal RNA", at positions 29 to 351 of the family's 1533-position model. The record is from RNAcentral. Lineage: Bacteria; Pseudomonadati; Pseudomonadota.